Labrus mixtus (cuckoo wrasse) is the source of this 300-nucleotide long non-coding RNA. RefSeq lists it as uncharacterized. The transcript is spliced from 2 exons. Lineage: Eukaryota; Metazoa; Chordata; Actinopteri; Labriformes; Labridae. The record is from RefSeq and is a predicted model, not a curated record.
CCUGAAAAAAAAUAGACAGUAACACGUUCUCAAUUAUACAGCGCUUUCCUGUCAUACCGGUGUUUUGUCAGUAAUUAUUUUAAAACGUCGCACUAAUAACUACUACAGCAUCAACGUAUCAUAAGCGCUGGUGCGCACGCAUGUGUGUCACAGUUGAAAGGCAGCCGACGGCGUUUUCUCUGAUAAAAAAACAUGUUUGGUAAAACGGUUUUAAAACCAUCAGAUCUCGACAAAAGCCGAGCUGAAAUCAGCAUUCAAAGAAAAAAAAUCACCGGAAGAGUUGAGAGUGACAGCAGGGCA